Molecule: ribosomal RNA, 270 nt
Filed under: uncultured bacterium
Lineage: Bacteria
Description: partial 16S ribosomal RNA
Rfam family: Bacterial small subunit ribosomal RNA
Source: RNAcentral
AGUGAACGCUGGCGGCGUGGAUUAGGCAUGCAAAUCGAGCGAUCUCGCAAGAGAUAGCGGUAAACGGGUGAGGAACACGUAAAUAAUCUUCCCCUUAUCCUGACAUAGCUCUAUGAAAAUAGAGGUAAUAUCAGAUGACACCAUGAGUUCUCAUGAACUUAUGUUUAAAGACCGGGACCGCAAGGCCGGUCGAUAUGGGAUGAGUUUGCGUAGCAUCAGCUAGUUGGUAGGGUAAUGGCCUACCAAGGCUUUGACGCUUAGCUGGUCUGA